UGGUGAGGUAAAGGCUCACCAAGGCGACGAUCGGUAGCUGGUUUGAGAGGAUGAUCAGCCACACUGGGACUGAGACACGGCCCAGACUCCUACGGGAGGCAGCAGUGGGGAAUAUUGCGCAAUGGGGGAAACCCUGACGCAGCCAUGCCGCGUGAGUGAAGAAGGCCUUCGGGUUGUAAAGCUCUUUCAGAUGUGACGAUGAUGACGGUAGCAUCAGAAGAAGCCCCGGCUAACUUCGUGCCAGCAGCCGCGGUAAUACGAAGGGGGCAAGCGUUGUUCGGAAUCACUGGGCGUAAAGAGUUCGUAGGCGGUCUUGCCAGUCAGAGGUGAAAGCCCAGGGCUCAACCUUGGAACUGCCUUUGAUACUGCAAGACUAGAAUCCGUGAGAGGGUGGUGGAAUUCCCAGUGUAGAGGUGAAAUUCGUAGAUAUUGGGAGGAACACCAGUGGCGAAGGCGGCCACCUGGCGCGGUAUUGACGCUGAGGAACGAAAGCGUGGGGAGCAAACAGGAUUAGAU
Molecule: ribosomal RNA, 516 nt
Filed under: uncultured microorganism
Description: bacterial SSU rRNA
Rfam family: Bacterial small subunit ribosomal RNA
Source: RNAcentral